GGAAUUUUAUAGGAUUCUAAUGAUAACCAUAGAGUUCCAAACUCAUUUCUAUGGCAACACAGCUGUCCAUUUUUAAAUCAGCAAUUUUCUAAAAUAUGUGUUGCCAAGAGACAUCUAACCGAUAGAACAUCUCGGCGUUCUUUUGAACGUUUUCUGUUCGAAAACAAGAACCACUUCAAUUUGCUGUUUAACAACAACAAACUUGACUGAUUUUUGAGACCUGAGAUUGAAACAUCGACUGGAAAAUGCCUGGGUGCUUUUCAAGAUUGAUGGAGGGAGUGCGAGGACGUCGGCAGCCUUCUGCGUCGACAGGUUGUUCAAAUUCAUUUGUGGGUUGUUUUUGUUGUCUUUUUCCGUUUUGCAGGGUUCGCGAUCGUCGGGAGGUGGACAGCGACAGCGACUUCGAAGAGGAAUCAAAUGUACUGGAUGAGGUCCAGUUGGAUGUGCCACUGCUGCCAGUCAUCCUGAUGUCCAGGAUGCUGCUAUCAUCCUUGAGGAUGUGCCAGAUGUACCGACUAUCCUUGAGGAGGCCACUGGUAAUUGGCAGUUGAUACCGAUUAGGUUCAGC
This is a long non-coding RNA of Oncorhynchus tshawytscha (Chinook salmon), 568 nucleotides long. The record is from Ensembl. NCBI's taxonomy places the organism in Eukaryota, Metazoa, Chordata, Actinopteri, Salmoniformes, Salmonidae.